AAAAAUCUCAAUGAUAGGGAGAUGGCAAAUAUUACAUUAGUGAAUAAUAUGUUUGAAUUUUUUCAUGCUCAUUUAGUCCAAUUGGAAAGUUUGGACUCAAGAGGCUUAUAGAACAUAUUUCACAGACGUCUUUGUUCACAUUUUCUAUUUGCUUUCCGGAUGUCUGCCCAUUUCUAUUAGCAAAUAUCAUUUGAAAGACCACGAUUCCAUCCCAAACUAGAGCCGUUUAUGAGGUCAAUGGCCCUCCAUAAUGUUGCAAGUUAGUGGACUAACAACAUGAUUCAUAAACAUGUGUAUUGUGCUGAACAGAUAGCGGGUCUCACGCUUAGCUCUUGUAUGUUGUCUUAUUUCUUAUUUGAUAU
RNAcentral lists this unclassified non-coding RNA (362 nucleotides) under Hevea brasiliensis (rubber tree). Lineage: Eukaryota; Viridiplantae; Streptophyta; Magnoliopsida; Malpighiales; Euphorbiaceae. The record is from RNAcentral.